AUAAUUUAUCGUUUUAACUUGAAUCCCUGAGAAAAUAUUUUACUAGAAAUUGCUUACUACCUGAUUAACGAUGAAAAUUCAGAGAGAUAAUCCACAAUUCAAUGUUGAAAAACUUAUUAUACACACAAAACUCUAUAUUUGUUUAAAUCGUGUUCAAAUUUUUUUCACAAAUCAGAUUAUCUCGCGCAUUAAUCACGAAUUCUUUCUUCGAGAAACGAGUACAAUAUACACAAUUUGUUUUUUGAUACCCGGGUUGACUAAACUGUUGGAAAGUAAUUUCCAGGCUGUAAAGGACUCGAUGCUCGUGGACCUAGUGAAACGAGCAAAGUUCGAGGAUGUUUCGAAUUUCUUACUACAAGUCGCGGAAGAAUUCGUGCCCUUUUUUCCCCUCCUCUUUUUGUCUUCUCACUUUAGCCUGCAUCGUAGUUUAUUUCAAAGACACGUAUCCACGAGUUUUCUGAACAAUGUACUCGCGGAAGUAUUUCGGGCGGUAGUAUCCGUGCCAUCCAUUGCGAGGAUUUUCUUACGAUCCAGUUGCCAUUGGUAUGUCGUAUUGACCAUCUUUAUCCGACGAUUUCUAGUAGGUAAUCGUUUGUCACUACGUUCCCCUUCCUUGCGUAUAUUUCCA
This is a long non-coding RNA of Apis florea (little honeybee), 628 nucleotides long. NCBI's taxonomy places the organism in Eukaryota, Metazoa, Arthropoda, Insecta, Hymenoptera, Apidae. The record is from RefSeq and is a predicted model, not a curated record.